Molecule: long non-coding RNA, 537 nt
Filed under: Lupinus angustifolius (narrow-leaved blue lupine)
Lineage: Eukaryota; Viridiplantae; Streptophyta; Magnoliopsida; Fabales; Fabaceae
Description: long non-coding RNA (LANG_LNC000097)
Source: RNAcentral
CAACUCAGAGACAUAUCCUCAGAGGAAGAAAAAUAUACUAACAAUGAUAGUGUUGUGAACAAGGAAUUUGGAAACAAGGUCCAGUCCAUUUAUGCCUACGUCCACAAGAGUAUUGAGCGACUACCACAAUAUAUUAGAGAAUAAGGAUUCGUGCUCUUCUAUAAUAGGUUUACAUAACACAUAAAUAUAUAGUCAUCUACCCCAACCCCUUUCAUCAGCUGAAGUCCAAUGGAAUCAAUGACUAUAAGUCCCUAAGGUCAUGGGUUCGGGUCGUGGAGGCUCCCUCUUGGGAGAAUAAAACACUUCAGAGGAAAUUUAAGCUUAAUAAGUGGCACACUUAAAAAAUUCAUGGUCCCGAUGGAUCACAUGUCAAGGCUGGGUAUGUUACAUAGUACACUCUUGCAUCAUAAAGUCAUAAAGUCUUUGGUUCAAAUACUAGUUUGUUAGAGAUAUUAUCCGCUACUUUAAUGUCUCUCUAUCUCUUUUGGUGACAUUAAAUUCAUAAUGUGGUACAUCGCUUCAUCUGAUAGACAAAGU